UUUUACACGGACAAAAAUAUGAUGAAAUUUUAAUGGUACACGUUAUUUGAAAAUAAAACAUACGAGUCUUUCGCUAACCGCUGGAACAAAAAUAUUUUCAUGACAGAGCAACCUGUCAAACUGCAAUGGAAAUUCUAGUUUCAAUUUGUUAGAUGGGGCAAUUCCCUAUGCGGUUUAUAGCAAUCGUCACGUAUAAAAGCGCAUUGCAAUCGGCUCAAUGGCAUCAGUUCAACUUGAGUUCUUACAACCAACAAAUCAGUAAGUAAAUUAAAAAAAAAAUUACACAAAAUGAAAUUUCUAUCGGUUGCUUUUCUACUCGGUCUGCUGGCGUUGGCAAGUGCCGCGCCUUUGAGUCCUGGCAAUGUGAUCAUCAAUGGAGAUUGCAAAGUUUGCAAUGUGCAUGGCGGCAAAUGAGAUGCAGAUGGAUUUCAACUAUAUAAUAACUACACGGAAUACUACAACAAUAUAUUAAUUAUCAACUAAAUAUAAUAUGAAUUGAUUUAAAAUUUGAUUGACUAAAUAAAAAGCAAAUAAUGUAACUUAUACUGCAGCUCAAAACAAACU
Drosophila innubila is the source of this 564-nucleotide RNA transcript. It is a transcript of the gene named bomanin-3-like, with no coding region annotated. The transcript is spliced from 3 exons. The record is from RefSeq and is a predicted model, not a curated record. Lineage: Eukaryota; Metazoa; Arthropoda; Insecta; Diptera; Drosophilidae.